Molecule: long non-coding RNA, 776 nt
Organism: Drosophila novamexicana
Lineage: Eukaryota; Metazoa; Arthropoda; Insecta; Diptera; Drosophilidae
Exons: 3
Source: RefSeq, a predicted model, not a curated record
UACAGUUAACCCAUAGACUACAAAUUGUGUUAGCAGUUACUUAUGCGUGUCAGUAUGUGAGUGUGAGUGAAUGCGUGAGUGCCGCCGACAGGCAAUCAAUACGAACUAGAAAAGGAGAGGGACAAAGAGACAGAGAGAGAGAGAGAGUGAAGGCGAGCAACAGCCGUCGGCAUUUAUACGGCAGGCCGCUAUUUAAAGUUGACGUUGAUGACGUAUGGACAAUAGAUGUCGCCACUUAAAGCCGUUAACCAGCGGCCACGGAAGCAGACGGCGGAAAUUACAAAUGCGUUGACAGGCGGCGAACAACCAAAACGGCACAGCGGCUGCCAGCGACUGCAGCUGAAGAUGUCUACGCAACUAUGGCCGUGCCACGCGCGUUAUCAUUGGACACAUAAUUGCCCUCAAUCGGGCUAAAUGAAAACAACUCGUUGACGUUGCCGCCCCACAAACAAAAAAAAAAAAAACAGAAAAAAGUGUUGCGAGUAAGAAAAGCCUAUUACUAUAUCGCCUAUAAGUAACCGCACACUCCGCUCAUAUCUCAUAUAACAAUUAAGCGCUACGCGUCGCUUAAUUGAAAUGUUUCAAGGCAAACAAAUCAACGGGACAGACCGAAGCGAAGCCCCAACAAAUUGUGGCACGCAAAUUGGAAUUUCAUUGUCUUCCACUGACAACGGCCAAAUUAGCCGCGCAUUUGGAUGAUCCUUGGCUAUACAAUAUCAUAGAUAUACUGCCAGGCCCACAUAUCCUUGGUUAUGCCGCCAUACCAUAGAUGUAGU